CCCUAGCCCGGAUAGCAACGGAAAGCCCGCGCGUGGUGAGGGCUAAUUUUGACCCAACGGCCGUAGCGACUUUAGGAGCUCAAGGACUUUGGUCGUCAAAAAGCCGGAACGAGCGCGGCUUGCAGUGAAUAGCCGGAAAAAGC
This 143-nucleotide small RNA is filed under the name Flavobacterium fontis. RNAcentral's name for it is "Flavo-1 RNA". It matches the Rfam family "Flavo-1 RNA". The record is from Rfam by way of RNAcentral. Lineage: Bacteria; Pseudomonadati; Bacteroidota; Flavobacteriia; Flavobacteriales; Flavobacteriaceae.